GCAUAUAUAAGAAAAUAUAAAAAAAAAACUGUGGUUUUGAUAUACGAUUUGAACUAAUCUAAUCGCAUAGAGACGUAUAUCUAGCGAGUGAUUCUGAUUUUGUUGAGAAAGAUUGAAGACAGAAUGAACGAAACACAAGUAGAAAAGGAGGAAGAGGAAAAAAAAAAUCCAAGAUGGAUGUGGAAUAAAAAACUAUGAAAUAUCUAAAUAUACUUGCAUGGUGUUGUUAAAGGAAGCUAG
Molecule: long non-coding RNA, 240 nt
Filed under: Glycine max (soybean)
Lineage: Eukaryota; Viridiplantae; Streptophyta; Magnoliopsida; Fabales; Fabaceae
Description: long non-coding RNA (GMAX_LNC002241)
Source: RNAcentral